This 22955-nucleotide long non-coding RNA is filed under the name Gossypium barbadense (sea-island cotton). RNAcentral describes it as "long non-coding RNA (GBAR_LNC016786)". The record is from RNAcentral. Lineage: Eukaryota; Viridiplantae; Streptophyta; Magnoliopsida; Malvales; Malvaceae.
GGGUCUUCUUCAGUUUCAUAAAUGCAUAGAAAAUUAACAAGCUCAAAUUCCUUCUUUUCAUAUUCAUCUCUUUCAUUUUGAAUUGCAACUUUAUCCUGCCUAAAUUCCUCAACAAUGAACCACCCAUCAGGACAGCCUCAAAAUGAACUUCCUUGGUCCGCCGGAUUCUGAGAUUGUUGCUCUGACCUGAAAACUUGUAACCCUUUCUUCUUUCUUCAAUAUCAGUUGUGUCUUUUUAAUUAUAUGAAUUAGUUUAUCAAUUAAAUAUAUGGACAUUUCAGGUUGCAUUUCAUACUGGUGCCCAUGCAUCACCUUUGGCCAGAUUGCUGAGAUUGUUGAUAAAGGGUCGACUUGUAAGUUAUUAAUUUCUAAAUUGAAAUCUUAUCAUCUUAGGUUUGCAGACAUAUAUAUAUAUUUAAAGAGAUAUUAUGUAAUUAAUAAUAAUGUUGAAAAACACUGUUGGAUGGUGCAGCAUGUGGGGCAAGUGGGGCACUAUACACAUUAAUAAUGUUCAUCACCGGGUGUGGGUGCUUAUAUUCUUGCUGCUACCGAUCCAAACUGAGAAAGCAGUAUAACUUGAAAGGAGGCGAUUGUGGCGAUUGCAUGCGUCAUUUCUGCUGCGAGCCUUGUGCCUUGACACAAGAGUAUCGUGAGCUCCAGAACCGUGGAUUCGACAUGUCUAUCGGUAUGUCUACAUACCAAUAUUAUACCCCUUUUAAUUAUUCUUAAUAUAACUUCAAGUAUAUUAAUUGAGUAGCUGUAAACAAAUAUCUCCGAAUAAAUAUGUUGGUAAUGAUGAGAUAAAUUAUUGUUUGAGGUCAUUAAUUUUGUGGGGGUAUAUUUAUAUAUGCAGGUUGGCAUGCAAAUGUGGAGAAGAACCCAGGGCUGGCAAUGGCUCCAGCGGUAGAAAAAGGCAUGAGCAAAUAGAUGAUGAUGAUGAUGAGACCACUGCAUUAAUAUCAUCUUUACAUGUAACACUUAAUUCCUUGGCUUUCCAUAAUUGGUUGAUUGUACGGCUUGCCAAUUGAAUUUCAAGUUAUGUAUGUUUGUGAUUGUCAAAUAUAUUAAUAAAAAGUGUUACUAUUCAUGUUAGAUCUUCAUGAAUAAGAAUGAGAAUCGAAAAUAACUUGUAAUAUUGUGUGUGCAUGUUUGGUAUUUAGGUGAAAUACUUAGAAAGAGAGGUUGGAUUAAAUUAAUUUUUUAUUAUCAAAAUGGAUGAUUUUAAUUUUUAUAUUAAUAAAAAGAAUUAAAUAAAAUUAAUAUUUAUUGUUUUAGAAAAUGACAUCAAAUUAUUGUUUUUUAUAGUUCAAUCCAAAUAAAAUAUCUACAAAAUCAUUAAAAACUUUUAAAAUGUGACUUUGUUAAAUAGUAAAUAGCAUUUUUUUAAAAGGGUUCAUAUAUAUCGUGAUACCUAAAGUUGGCAACUUCUACUUAGUAUCUAAAUCGGUACAUAAACUUGAAAAUUGUAAGUCAACUUCGUAUUUUUAUAAGUAUGAUGAUGUUGGUGUAGUGUGAGGAAGAAGACUUGAAUGGGUUUGAUUAUUUUUAAUAAUACAGGAAUUUACAUAUUAUAAGUAAAUAGACACUCACAUUCUUUAUGUAUUAUAAGGAAGAAGACUAAGUCGAUCUACUUUGUAAUCUCAUCAAUCUUAAUUUUCUCAAUUGUUAAGGGAGUUCAAAUGAAAUACAAAAUUUUGGUAAAAAAAAGUAUCCAAUUUUGUGAAUAAAAAAUAUAUGGUAAAAAAGAUUUGGUAUCGAUACUUCGGCGCGGGUAUCAAUACUCGAUACAUUGCUUUUGGUUGGAAAGUAGUGUCUGGAACGGCCAUGGGAUGUGUUGUUUUCCAAACCGGUAAGGCGAAAAGGUUUGUGAAUUUGGUUGAAGACCAACAUGAGAAGAGGCGAAGAAGAAAACCAAAAUAUAGCAAUCGCAUCAAUGGAUGAAGAAGGAUCUAGUUGGUGCAAAUGAAGUUAAAGCAUUUGUGCUGUGUCUUCAUAAUUUCUUGUUUAGUAGUCUGUCAGAAAGUUUUUCCUAUGGUGAAAAGUUGCAUUGGUAUGUGUCUGUCUUUAUGAUUGUACCAAUUCCUCUGUAUUUCAUUGCAUUUCGUACUAUUUGUAAGGGUUUAGUUCGAGUGUAACAUCUUGUAUGGUGCAACUAUGUAUGUCUUCUUUCUUGAUUAUUGAAAUUAUAAUCAAAAUUAAUACAUGUUCUUUUUAUUAGCUUAAGGGCGUAAAAACACUUCAAAAUUUUCAAAAAAUAAAAUAAAAUUUUAAGUCCCUCUUUUUUUUACACUCAAUUGAAAUUUUUAAAAUGUAUCAAAAAUAUCUUUACAGUUCUUCAAAAAAAAAAACAAUUAAACCCCUAUUUUUUUUCCGCUCAAUUGGGUACUUGAACUUUCAUAAUGCAUCAAAAAUGCCUUAAAUUUUUUUCAAAAAAGCAAUUAAGCCCCUACUCUUAUUAAAAAUUAGAAAAAAAUCAUAAAAAUAAUAAAUUUUAGAAAAAAUUAUUAAAUUUUAAUAAAAAUUUAAAAUUUUAUUAAAAAUUAGAAUUUUUUUUUAGAAAAAUCGUCAAAAAAUAAAAAAUUAUAAAAUCCAUCAAAAAGUUUUAACAAUUAACUUUAACUAUUGAUCGUUAAAGUUAACGACCUCUAGUUUUUUCAAUUAAAGUCAUUAUGUGUCGCAACUCAACGUGACAUGUAGCGAAAAUAGAUAAAAAAGUAAAAAUCAAUAAAAGUUAUAGAAAAAUUAUAAAAUAUUUCUUUUGGUAGAAUAAUUUUUAUAAAUUUUUUUUACAAAAUUUAUAUUUCUUUACAUUUUGUAUAAUUUUCUUAUAACUUUAUAAAAUUUUAUAAAUUUUUAUAUUUCUAUAUAUUUUAAAAUUUUUUAAAAUUUUUAUAAAAUUUUACAAUUUUUAUAUAUUUUUAAUAAAUUUUUAAUAUUUGAUUUUUUAUUAAAAUUUAAUAAUAUUAUAGAUUUUAUUGAUUUUAAUUUUUUAUCUAAUUUUUAAUAAAAUUAGGGGGUUAAUUGCUUUUUUUUUAAGUUUGAGGGUCUUUUUGAUGCAUUUUGAAAGUUCAAGUACCCAAUUGACUGCAAAACAAAAAGAAAAAAAGUAGGGGCUUAAUUGCUUUUUUUGAAAAUGUUUGAGGGCUUUUUUGAUGUAUUUUGAAAGUUCAAGUACCCAAAUGAGUGCAUAAAAAGAACAGGGGUUUAGUUGCUAUUUUGAAAAAGUUUGAGGGCUUUUUGCACCUUUAAACCUCUUUUCUUUUUCUAAAUUUAAUUUAGAACCAACUUUGUGUAAAGACUUGGGAAAUUUAAUUAGCAAAAUUUCUUUCCAUGUAAAAAUUUCCCCUAUUUCUUGUUUGAAUUUAAAGCAAUACAAUAUUUUUCUAGCAAAUAAUAGAAAAUGACAGUCAAUUAAUUCCAGCAAUACAACAUUUCCAGUCUGGUGGAAAACAGCUAGGGACCAAAUUUUUAAAGUGUUGUUUACUACACACUUAGGGACCAUAUAUGUAUAUAUAUAUAUUCCAGUCUGGGUCUUUGUCGUGUUUUGUUGGUUGGCUAUGGCCUUCUUGUUGUUUCAUGGCCACUGCCCGUGAAUUAAGUCAUAUGUGGCCUUGUUUGCUAGACCUUAGUUGCUAAGUUAAAGGGAGUGAAUAGAGCACCAUAUUUCUUCUUCUGCGUGGAAAAUAAGUUGGCAUUAUGCCAAAUUCCACAUUCAUACAUAGAAAGGAAGCAAGGCCAAGUCAUUAUACUUUGUAAUCUCAUCAAUUCUAAUUAUUUCACUUCUUCAUUCUUUAGGGAGUUCAAGUGAAAUACAAAUUUUUCCACAUCCAAUCUCAUAAAUAAUCCGUCUUUGAACUUUCACAAAAAAAUAUUAAAUACCCAUUCACUUUAAUUCUACUAUUCUUAAAUCAUUCAAGUUUUGUGGAAAAUAUGCUUCUUGGAUAAAAUUAUUCAACACACAUGCCUUGAAUUUUAUGCAAUAAAAUAAAUCAAUAUAGGCCACACAUGCUUUGAAUAUUUAAGUAGUCCACAAUUUUGUUCGUUUGUGUGCAAAAUUCUACAUUGCUUGACAGCCAUACAUUCUAAGUAAAUAGACACCCACAUUGUUUACGUAUUAUGAAGAAGAAGACUAAGUCAGUCUACUUUGUAAUCUCAUCAAUCUUAAUUUUCUCAGUUAUUUAGGGAGUUCAAAUGAAAUACAAAAUUUUGGGAAAAAAAAUGUAUCCAAUUUUGUGAAUGAAAAAUAUAUGGUAAAAAGGAUUUGGUAUGGAUACUUCGGCUCGGGUAUCAAUACUCAGGGUAAGUUUAUCGAUACAUUGCUUUUGGUUGGAAAGUGGUGUUGAUAGGUGAUGACUAAAAUUUGAUAAAUUUGAAAAGUACAUGAAAUUUAACGAUUAUUGUUUGGUGAUGACUAAAAUUUUAAAAUUUGAAAAGUACAUGAACUAAAAAUGACCAAAUUAAAGUAUAAAGAUUAAGUCCACAACUUUUGCAAAGUACAAGGACUAAUAGCAGAAAUUAACCUAAAUUUCAUAUGGGUCAAUUACAAAAAUAAUCACUAAACUAUUCCUUUGGUUCUAUUCUAGUCACUCAACUAUAGAGGUGCUCAUGGGCUGAGCCAGGUCAAGCCUAAGUAUGAUAUUAAUGUAUUUUAUACUUGCUCAAGCUUGGCUCGGCCUGAAAUAUGAGCUUAAAAUUUUGCCUGAACUCAUCCAUAUUUGCAAAAGACUAACCCAAGCUCAUUUUAAGCAUGCCUAUAUAAUUUUUAAUUUUUUUUAAAUAUUUAUAUUAUAUUAUAUUAAUUAAUAAUUUAAACAUUUUUUAUUUAUUAAAAUUUUUUAUAGUCAUUUUAACAUUAUUUUAAUGUUUACAUUAUAGUAUUAUUAUAUAUUUAGUAUAAGUAUUUUUUUAAUAUGUUCUAAUUUAUAUAAUAUAAAGUAUUAUACACUUAAAAACGGGCCGGGCUGGGCUUGAGCUUUAGUUGUUACUCAACUAUUAAUUUUUUCGAUUUAGUUGUUAACCUUUUCAAAAGUAAAUAUUUUAGUCAGUCUCCUAUUAGUUGUUGUUAAAUGAGUGACGGAAAGCUAAUGUGAGCUUUUUUUAUUAGUCUAAUAACAAAUUUAGCCCUCCAAUGUUUACACAUUCUAUCAAUUUGAUCGUAAAUAUAAAAAAAAAAUCAACAAAUUUAGCCCUGAAUAUUAACAAAACUUGUCAUUUUAGUUCAAAUUCUAAAAAAUUUAAUAAAUUUAACCUUUAAUAUUUUCAAAAAAAUAGCAAUUUAGUUCUAAUUCUAAAAAUUUUAAUAUAUAUAUUUAAAAAAAUAUUUCUAAUCCUCUGUCUCACCCUUUGAUUUUUUAGAUGAGCUAAAAUCAAAAUAUAUCAUUAUGUCUUUUUGUUUUAAUGCUAAAAGAGAUAAAAAAAAAUGGAAAGCUAAAAUGGCUUUUCGUUUGUGAAGUUAAAAAAUGCCAAAUAAAUUAUUAUGUCUUUUUAGUUUUAAUUUUUUACUUGAUUAAAAGAGAAAUAAUUAACGAAUGAAAAAUAAUUAUUCACAAAUAAAUUUAUCAGAAUUUAUAACAAAUGAGAUUUUAAAUUUGAAUUUAUAAAUCAAAAUUUAUAUAUAUAUAUAUAUAUAUAUAUAUAUAAAAGAAAACACAUUUUUAUGAAAUAUAAGAUUUUGUUAAAAGAAAGAGCAUAUAAAAGCAUACACGUUUUUAUGAAAUACAAGAUUUUGCUAAAAGAAAAAGCAUCCAAUUUUAAGAAUGAAAAAUAUGUGGUAAAAGCAUCCAUAACUUUUCAAUGUAAAAGAAAAAAAAACUGUAACACCAAUGUUGUGGUAUUAUUUGUUGCCUAUAAAUACCAUUCCUAUCCUUCAUCUUCCUCUACCAACAUAACAUGGCCUCCUCCUAUCUCUUUCUCUUUCUCUGCCUAUUCCUCUUCUUUCCCCAUCUUUAUGCUUCUUUUUCUUCUUCAGGAUCUCACUCCUGCUCUUCACUAAUCCAGUUUAAGGACUCUUUUUCCAUAACAGAGGAUGCUUCUUCUGAUUGCAAUGAGAUUGCUGGCCAUAAAUUUUAUCCCAAGACCAAUUCAUGGAAGGAGGGUACAGAUUGCUGCUCAUGGGAUGGGGUCACUUGCGACCACCUAAAUGCUCAUGUUAUUGCCCUUGACUUGAGCUGCAGUUGGCUAUAUGGCAACUUCCCUUCCAAUUCCACUCUCUUCCUUCUUCCUCACCUUCAAAAACUCAACCUUGCCUACAAUUAUUUUAAUCUUUCCAAAAUUCCAUCCGAGUUCGGUCGGUUUACAAGCCUAUUCUACCUCAACCUUUCUUAUACAUGGUUUGCAGGAGAAGUCCCAUCCCAAGUCUCCCACCUGUCAAAAUUGGUUUCACUUGAUCUCUCCUUUUGGAUUGAUAACUAUGAGCAACUUACAAUUGACAAACAUGCUCUGGAGGGACUUGUUCACAACCUAACCGAGGUCAGACAUCUGUUUUUGGAUGGAAUCAACAUGACUUCUGUUAAUGCUCAUGUCUUCAUGAAUCUAUCCUCUUCUCUAAGAUCUCUCAGUCUUGCUGGUUGUGAUUUGCAAGGAAAAUUCCCAAAAAACAUUUUUGAUUUGCCAAACCUCAAUCUCCUCAACUUGGGAGGCAACCAAUUGAGUGGACAAAUUCCAAGAUCAUUGGGGAACCUCUUGCAACUCACUGUUUUAGACUUGUGGGGGAACAAAUUGAGUGGACAAAUUCCAUUGUCAAUUCUAAACCUAACGCAGUUGGAAUACUUGGUAAUAUCUGAAAAUUCUUUAGAAGGUUCUAUUCCAGAUGAGGUAACCGCUGUUCCGAAUCUAAUAUAUUUAGUCUUAUAUGACAAUUUACUCAAUGGAACACUUCCGUCAUGGUUGUAUACUGCUCCCUCCUUAAAGGGUAUAAUUCUCUCUCAAAAUCAAUUCAGUGGGCAUAUCAAAGAAUUCCAAACCAAAUCACUAGAAUAUUUAGAUCUAGAAAAUAAUAAACUCCAAGGUCCCCUUCCAUCUUCAAUAUUCCAACUUCUCAAUCUUACCGGGCUCCUUUUAUCCUCAAAUAAUCUUAGUGGUGUCAUAGAGUUUCGCAUGUUCUCAAACCUUCCAAAUCUCAAAUAUCUUUACCUUUCAUAUAACAACCUAUCCUUAACAUCUAAUUCUACUUCUACUGUUAAUCAUAUAUUGCCUAAUCUUACAGACGUACUUUUGUCAUCUUGCAAUCUUAGUGAAUUCCCCCAGUUUUUAAAAGGGCUUAAAAGUUUGGAAAGCUUAGACCUCUCUUGCAACAAAAUUGAAGGCAAGAUUCCACAGUGGAUGCAAGAGGUGGGGAAUGUCUCUUUGACUUACUUCAACGUAUCUCACAACUCUUUGACAGAAGUUGAGCACUUUCCAUGGAAGAAUAUUGAAAGGCUUGACUUAAGCUCCAAUUUGAUCAGUGGAAAUCUUCCGAUUCCAGCUUCGACCAUCAGUGUCUUUUUUAUCUCAAAUAAUAGUUUCAAUGGAGAGGUCUCUUCUUUAAUAUGCAAUGCCAGUUCUCUUCGAAUUCUUGAUUUGUCCCACAAUAACUUGAGUGGACCAAUUCCGCAAUGUUUUGGAAAUUUGAGUGACAGCCUUGAAAUCUUGAAUCUGAAGAAGAACAAGUUCUAUGGGACGAUUCCUCCAAAAUUUGCAAAGGGAUGCCGAUUGACUAAUUUCAACUUAAAUGGAAAUCUGUUAGAAGGGCCAUUGACUCCAUCCAUCCUUAAUUGUAGGGGUCUGGAAGUGCUAGAUCUUGGUAACAACAAGAUCAAUGAUACAUUUCCUCAUUGGUUGGGAAGUCUUCCACAGCUACAAGUUCUUGUAUUGAAGUCAAAUCAUAUGCAUGGUUCCUUAUGUGUCAAUAGCUCUAAGUCUAGCCCUUUUUUCUCUAAAAUCCAAAUUUUUGACCUCUCAAGUAACUAUUUUUCUGGACCCCUACCAGUGAGAUACAUCAACAGCUUCAAGGCUAUCAUAAAUGUAGAGAAGAUUGGUAGUACAGUGUCGUACAUGGGGGUGAAUGAUGAUGGAGGUGACUUCUAUACCUAUUCCAUUGGAAUUGUCAUGAAAGGGAGAGAUAUGGAAUUGGUGAAAAUUUUCACCAUGUGGAUGAUCAUUGAUCUAUCAAACAAUCAGUUUGAAGGGGGUAUUCCAGAGGUUUUUGGGAAGCUUAACUUACUGAAAGGGCUCAACCUUUCUCAUAAUAACCUUAAUGGUGGUAUCCCCACCUUAAUAGGGAAUUUGACAAGUCUUGAAUGGUUGGACCUAUCUUCAAACAGGUUGUCUGGGACGAUUCCAAAUAGAUUGGCAGAUCUGCCAUUUCUUUCGUCCUUCAAUGUUUCUGAAAAUCAACUCCAUGGUCAGAUUCCUCAAGGCAAACAGUUCAACACAUUUGGAAAUGAUUCAUAUGAAGGAAACAAGGCAUUAUGUGGAUUUCCGGUCUCAAAAGGUUGCAACAUCAUUGAGCCAGCACCUCCAAAUGUGCUUGAAAAAGAUGGCUCAAAAUCAAACAUUACUUUUGGUUGGAAAGUGGUGUUGAUAGGUUAUGGAUGCGGAGUGGUGUUCGGAAUGUCCGUGGGAUAUGUUGUUUUCCAAACUGGUAAGCCGAAAUGGUUGGUGAAUUUGGUUGAAAUCCAACAUGAGAAGAAGCGAAGAAGAAAGUCAAAGGAUGGCAGUCGCAGCAAUGGACGAAGAAGAAUCUAGUUAGUGGAAAUGAUGUUCAAGUGUUGAUGUUGUAUCUUCAUAAUUUCUUGUUUUGAAGUCUGUCAAAUUUUUUUCCUAUCGUGAAAGGCUGCAUUGCCAUGCAUCUGUCUUUUUUAUUGUAACCAUUCAUCUAUAUUUCAUUGCAUUACGUAGUAUUUGUAAGGGUUUGUUUUAAAUGUAACAUUUUGUAUGGUUCAACUAUUUAUGUCUCUUUCAUGAGUUUCAUUUUUGAGUCUCAAUAAUCUCUGCAUUCAAGAUUUUGUCAGCUUAUUAAUUGGUGGAUCAAUAAUCUUCAUGCUCAUCUCAUCAUCUUUUUCUCGAGUUAAACACAGUCACUACUAUAAUAAUUUCUUCUGUGUGGAAAAUAAUUUGGCAUUCUGCAAAUUUCCACAAUGCUUGUGGAUUACCUCUGGUUGACGGCUAUACAUAUAAAGGAAGGAAACAAGACUAUGUCAAAAUUUCCAAAAAUCAGUCAUUCAUUUUUGAACAAUUAAACAUUCCUAUUCUAUUUUUCAAAAUUGUAAAUCCUCAAAUAAUGUAAAUUAGUCCUAAAACUCAAGUUUUGAAAUCUUUACAAUUUAACCCCUUAUAGUUUCAAACUUUACUAUUUUAUGCUCAACUUUCUAAAUCUUCAUAUUUCAUGAUCAUAUAAUUUAGUUAUUACAUCAAUAUUUCAGAUUUCACUACUCAAACCCUUACUUCAUUUUGGUCCUUACUUCAAUUUUUUCAAAUUAAAUCAAUUUUCAAUUUGACUGCAUUGAUGUGAAAUUGAGGGAGCACUAAACAAUGUUGAUGCGAGUUUAGGUAAAAUUGGUGGAUCCCAUCUCCUUAGUAAUUUCUUUAUGGAAGUAGCUGCUUUCACACUGCAAACUUGAAUAGUUUGUGGUGGACGAUGAUGAAUCAUUUGACAAUCAAACACAUAAUUUUUAAACACAAAAUUAACGAUAUUUUGAAAUCAUUAUUGAAAUUAUAAUCAAAAUUAAUACAUGUUCUUUUUAUUAGCUUAAGGUCGUAAAAACCCUUCAAAAUUUUCAAAAAAAAAAAAAAUUUAAGUCCCUCUUUUUUUUUUUCUAAUUUUUAAUAAAAGUAGGGGCUUAAUUGCUUUUUUUUUUUUAAGUUUGAGGGUCUUUUUGAUGCAUUUUGAAAGUUCAAGUACCCAAUUGAGUGCAAGAAGAAAGUAGGGGCUUAAUUGCUUUUUUUUAUGUAUUUUGAACGUUCAUGUACCCAAAUGAGUGCAUAAAAAAAACAGGGGUUUAGUUGCUAUUUUUGAAAAGGGUUUGAGGGCUUUUUGCACCCUUAAACCUCUUUUCUUUUUCUAAAUUUAAUUUAGAACCAACUUUGAGUAAAGACUUGGGAAAUUUAAUUAGCAAAAUUUCUUUCCAUGUAAAUAUUUCCCCUAUUUCUUGUUGGAAUUUAAAGCAAUACAAUAUUUUUGUAGCUAGUAACAGAAAACGACAGUCAAUUAAUUCCAAGCAAUACAAAAUAUCCAGUCUGGUGGAAAAUUUGUUUGUUAGAUUCUAUUAUUCAACUUUUAAGGCAUAAGUCUGAAUAUAGGGACUAAAUUUUUAAAGUGUUGUUUAUUUUAAAAUCUAUUAAUAUAUACACACUUAGGGACCAUAUAUAUAUAUAUCAUAUAUAUAUAUAUAUAUUCCAUUCUGGAUCUUUGUCGUGUUUUGUUGGUUGGCUCUGGCCUUGUUGUUGUUUCCACUGCCUGUGGUCUCUGUUUCUAAGUCAUAUGUGGCCUUGUUUGCUAGACCUUAGUUGCUCUUCACAUGUCUUGUAUUUUGUCAAGUUAAUUGAAAUGGAAAAUAAAAGUGUUGGCAUUACAGAUUAGAGUAAAAGGAAUUAGUGUUGAAGUUGGGGUUGUUCAAUUGUUGGAAUUCAUGUGUGUAUUUUUUUGAGUAUCUGGGUCUUUGUCGUGUUUUCUUGGUUGGCUAUGGCGGCCUUCUUGUUGUUCCCACUGUCUGUGGUAUUUGUUUCUAAGUCAUAUGUGGCCUUGUAUGCUAGACCUUAGUUGCUAAGUUAAAGGGAGUGAAUAGAGCACCAUAUUUCUUCUUCUGCGUGGAAAAUAAGUUGGCAUUAUGCCAAUUUCCACAUUCAUACAUAUAAAGGAAGCAAGAGCAAGUCAAUAUACUUUGUAAUCUCAUCAAUUCUUCUUCUUUCUUUAGGGAGUUCAAAUGAAAUACAAAUUUUUGGUAAAUCAACUCUUCAUUUUUAUGAAUAAAAAUUAUAUGGUAGAAAGGAAGUGGUGUUAAUAAUAAUAAUAAUAAUAAAAAGAUUAACAAUAGAACACUAAUAAAGCAAUUUAGUCUAUGAUCUGCACAAUAUAUUACUACAAAUGUACCGUACAGAAUAUUGAAAGAAAACUAAUAAAGAAGUUCGAAAUUUAAACAAUGUUCCGCAAAUUAUGUUUAUGAUCUGCUGUAAAUUGAUAUGUUAAAUCAACUCUUCAUUUUUAUGAAUAAAAAUUAUAUGGUAAAAAGGAAGUGGUGUUAAUAAUAAUAAUAAAGAUCAACAAUAGAAAACUAAUAAAGCAAUUUAGUCUAUGAUCUGCAUAAUAUAUUACUACAAAUGUACCGUACAGAAUAUUGAAAGAAAACUAAUAAAGAAAUCCGAAAUUUUAACAAGGUUCCGCAAAUUAUGUUUAUGAUAUGAUGUAAAUUGAUAUGUCAAAUUUUGUGGCAAGUAAUAGAAAAUGACAAAUUCCACAUUCAUACAUAUAAAGGAAGCAAGAUCAAGUCAAUAUACUUUGUAAUCUCAUCACUUCUUCUUCUUUCUUUAGGGAGUUCAAAUGAAAUACAAAAUUUUGGUAAAUCAACUCUUCAUUUUUAUGAAUAAAAAUUAUAUGGUAAAAGGAAGUCUUGUUAAUAAUAAUAAUAAGAUUAACAAUAGAAAACUAAUAAAACAAUUUAUCCAAAUAUCAAAAUAAAUAUUAACUUUUUCAGAAACCAAAAUUAUUUUCUAAAAAUUAUUUUUUAAAAACUAUUUUUAGUGAAACAAACUGAGUCUUAGCCCAUAUUGUAAAUUAUUUUGUGGGUCUGGAAUUCUUGUACAUUAUGCUGCAAAAGAGUGAAAUUUCCUUACAGCUAGUCGAUCAAGUUUGGUUGAAAUUGAAUGCAUUGAUGUGAAAUUGAGGGAGCCUAAACAAUGUUGAUGCGAGUUUAGGUAAAAUUAGUGGAUCCCAUCUCCUUAGUAAUUUCUUUAAGGAAGUAUCUGCUUUCACACUGUGUUGACAACUUCCCACAGAUCAAAGGCCUGCAGGUAAGUCUUCAUAUUUACCAGCCAUAUGUGAAAACCUUCUCCAUUGAAGACUGGUGGGACUGCUGGUGAAAAUCCUGAAGAAGCCAUCAGGUUUCUUGAUUUGAAGCAACAGGUCCACUAAGAAAAGGGCUCUAGAUACCAAUUGUUGGUGUAAAAGGGCAGAAGCAAACUGAUUUAAGCUUGCUUAUACAGCAAGCCUCGAGCCUUGUAGAAGAAACAAUCUCAGCAGAAAGCAAAAAUGAAGCUUGCAGUUGGAAAAACAAGAAAACAAGGAGAGAAUUUGAAUGAAAAACAAGCUGAGUUGUUCAUUAACAUUACAACAAGGCAUAUUGCCAUUACAUAUAUCAGUUAACUUGUCAAAUAAACAAGUAAUCACCUAAUCAAUUACCUAACACCACUAAUAUGCAUUGAAACUUACAAAAUUAGCUUGCAAACAUUACAUUGCUGAUAUUUCAGUCAAUCAACAUCAAAAUUACACCAAAACAUUCACCUGCUUAGUUCAAUGUGAACUAGAUUACAAAAUGAUUAAAAUACAACUAAAACAACAAGUGGUUCAGUAACUUGAAGCUUCAGCUGCUGCACACCAUGGCUCGAUUGCCUGCUGCCAUUUCUUCUUGCAUGGCCACCUUUGCAUGGGAACUAAACUCAACAUACACGAACUAAUGCAAAUAUGCUAGUGGUUUAUUUUCCACCUAUCUGAUUUUUUAAAAUGUUCUUCAGUUACACCAGUUGAUGCAAUCUAUUAUUACCUGCCUCGUUGCAAAAAGGUUAGGAAAUAAAUUCACCGACAAUCAUUGGGAACUAAGAAACUUCGCAGCAAAGCUAGUGGCAUCAAUAUGCAAAAGGUGAAGAUUCUUUUCUUUUGGACUUAUACAUGCAUAUUCGUUUUUAUGAAUUUCAGGUGUCUGAGUUUUUAGUUAUAAACUUGGAUCUAUUCUUCAAAUCAUGUGUAUAUCAUUUUUAUGCUAUUUCACACUUGCAAAACAAAUGGUGCGAGCGUGCAUGUUAUAUGCAGAAUACAUAGAUUAAUUACAUGUGGAUCAUUAAGCAUGCCUAUGUUUGACGAUUGUGUGUGGCUACCUUUUUUUACAUGAUCCAAUUUUCGAUAUGCUUUGCUUUUAGGUUGAAUGCGGAAAAGAUUAGAACUUAAUUUCCAGCAUAAUGAUUUGUCUUGGAUAUGCAGAUUUUACAUGCAUUUCUUACAAGUCAAUAUUUUAUAGAUUUGGGCAUGUUUAUCACAAUCUUCAGCCACGUGUGACAAGGACACUGCUCCACGCUUUUUUGGACCCAACGAAAACAUUUCCCCAGUAUUACGGAGCAAUUCAAGGGUUAGCAGCCCUUGGACCCAGUGUGGUAUAAUUCUAAUCUCAAAUAUUUACUAGCAACACAAUAAGAUACUUGUUUGUGGGAUCAAUUGGUCAAAGAUAUUGCAAUGAUAGCCAUCUUUUUAAGCCCAUUUCUUUCAGAAAACUGUUUUGUCACUCUUUUCUGCAAGAUCCGAAGAAAGAAAGAACAUGGAAAUCUUUAGUCCAAAAGUGUAAAUAUGCGGUUUCUCUAUAGCUAUCUUGAUUAUGGCAUCUGUAAAGUUUGUCUUUCAUAUGUUUGGCUAACGCUUCUUCAUCCAUAUGUAGGUUCGUUUACUUAUACUACCAAACCUUGAAGCGUAUUUGCAGCUUCAUGAACCUGAAAUAAAAAGACACGAGGCCUGGUGUUUUUAUGGGGCCCUGCUGGUAAGUUUAACAUCAAAUUUGGUACCAGUUUACGAGCAUCAUUUCAUUUAUUUGCUAUAGAACUAACAACACUGCAUAAAAUUUCCACUAAAAGCGUGCAGCUGGACUGUGCAUGUAUGAUCGGCUUAAAAUGUUCCCCAGUUUGCUAGCACCCCCAACUCGGCCCGUCUGGAAAAGCAACAACAAAGUUGCGACAAGUAUGAUUUCUUCGAACCAUCAUAUUUACACUUAAUCCACAGGUCUCUUCUCCCCCUUUACGAUUUUCCUUUUUCUGAUCAAUCAAGAUAAACGAAAAGCAAGCACGGACGCCUUGAUGCAGCAGCAACCACCUGCGAAGAAAAUAGCAACUGAGAGUGCAAUAGGUAUGAUGCCAAUAAAUUCCAUGCAAACUGAUUUACAAGGGGCAGUUAGCAGCUUUUCUACCACCGUAGGAGGUUCCAAUAUCGGUGUAUCAUCAAUGUCACGGCCGUUAUCAAACGAUAACAUGCUAGGAAGGGAGGUUGGGGGUCGAGUUUCAAGGACAUCAACCGUUCUAGCUCAGGCUUGGAAGGAAGACACAGACCCAGGGAACUUGUUAGCAUCAUUAUUUGAACUUUUUGGUGAAAGUAUGUAAUUAAAAUAAUAUAUUGGCUUAACCCUCCUAAAUUAUGUAUUUUUUUCCAUCUUGGGACCUAAAUUUUUUUGGGGUCAUAAGUGGUACCUAAACUACAUUUUUUCUCCUUCAAAUUAGUAUCUUCAUUAAUUAAACCGUUAAGUCUAUUUAAAAAAGAAAGACUCGAACAACAAAUUAAUACCUAAACAGUGCUCUUUUUCUCAAGGUACCUAAUUUUUAUUUUGGCCAUAAGUACUACUAAAACUAUUCUUCCGUUACUCAUUUUACACCAAAAUGUUAUAUCGGCUGAAAAGAUUCCAACAAAUAAUAGAUUGUAUGUUAUAUAAACUUUUAAAAAUAAUUAUUAUUUAAUUAAUUUUUUAUAUUUUUCUUUCUUAUUCCUUUCUAAUGUUUGGCAAUGCUGAUAAUGUUUGAAAUUGUCCCACUUGAGGUCAAAAUACUGGUGAUUAAUUUUGGUUUUGAAUUUCACCACCUACUUCUUUGACCUAAGGGGAUAGAAAAUGUUCUUUUAUCGAUCAAAACUAGUAUUUUCAAAAACAGAUUGAUUCAACUGGUUGGAUAGGAAAUCGGUCUGGAAAUAAGGGUUGAAUCGAUUGACUUGCGACCAAAAACAAAUCAGUUGAACUAAGUUAAAAAAACUGGUUGAACUAGUUCUCUCCAUUUAUAUAUAUAUAAAUAAUAAUAGUCUUUUUUUGUACUAUAUGUCAAUUUUUAAUUGGUUAAUUUUUUUUUUCAUAUAAACUGAACGGUUUGACUAAUGACGGAGGUACCAAAUUAUAGUCUAGGUACCAAUUCAUGGGUUAAGCCUAUUUCUACAAUAGACUUUUGACUAAUGGCGGUAGUAACUUGGGAAAAAAAAAGUAGUUUAUGUACCACUUGUGACAAAAAAUAAGUUUAGGUACUAUCAUGGGAAAAUGAGUAUAAUUUAGAUACUAAUUUAUGAGUUAAGCCUAAUAUAUUUGCCACAUCAUUUUUUGAAAAUAACAGAACUUAAUAAAUUUAACGGUUAUUAUUUGAUGAUGACUAAAAUUUUUAAAUUUGAAAAGUACAUGAACUAAAAAUGACCAAAUUAAAGUAUAAAGAUUAAGUCCACAACUUUUGCAAAGUACAAGGACUAAUAGCAGAAAUUAACCUAAAUUUCAUAUGGGUCAAUUACAAUAAUAAUCACUAAACUAUUCCUUUGGUUCUAUUCUAGUCACUCAACUAUAGAGCUGCUCAUGAGCCGGGCCAGGUUAGGCCUAAGCAUGAUAUUAACGUACUUUAUGCUUGCUCAAGCUUGGCUCGGCCCGAAAUAUGAGCUUAAAAUUUCGCCUAAACUCAUCAAUAUUUGCAAAAGACUAACCCAAGCUCAUUUUAGGCAUGCCCAUAUAAUUUUUAGUUUUUUUUUUUUAAAUAUUUAUAUUAUAUUAUUUUAAGAAUUAAUAAUUUGAACUAUAGUAUUAUUAUAUAUUUAGUAUAAGUUUAUUUUUUAAUCUGUUCUAAAUUAUAUAAUAUAAAAUAUUAUACACUUAAAAACGGGCCGGGCUGGGCUCGAGCUUUAAAUGUUCAAGUCUUAACCCGGCCCAUAUUUUAAACGGGCUUAAUUUUUUUACCAAAACCCAAUUUUCGGGCCUAAUUUUUUUACUCAGACCCUCCCAAAUUUUGGGCUGCCCUUGGGCUUUGGCAAGUAGCCCAACUCAUGAACAAGUUUACUCAACUAUUAAUUUUUUCGAUUUAGUUGUUAACCUUUUCGAAAGUAAAUAUUUUAGUCAUUCUCCUAUUAGUUGUUGUUAAACGAGUGACGGAAAGCUGAUGUGGGCUUUUUUUAUUAGUCUAAUAACAAAUUUAGCCCUCCAAUGUUUACACAUUCUAUCAAUUUGAUCCUAGAUAUAAAAAAAUCAACAAAUUUAGCCCUGAAUGUUAACAAAACUUGUCAUUUUAGUUCAAAUUCUAAAAAAUUUAAUAAAUUUAACCCUUAAUAUUUUCAAAAAUUAGCAAUUUAGUUCUAAUUCUAAAAAUUUUAAUAUAUAUAUUUAAAAAAAUAUUUUUAAUCAUCUGUCUCACCCUUUGAUUUUUUAGAUGAGCUAAAAUCAAAAUGAGAUAAAAAAAAAUAAAAAGUUAAAAUGACUUUUCGUUUGUAAAGUUAAAAAAUGCUAAAUAAAUCAUUAUGUCUUUUUAGUUUUAAUUUUUUACUUGAUUAAAAGAGAAAUAAUUAACAAAUGAAAAAUAAUUAUUUCUAUAUAAAUUUAUCAAAAUUUAUAACAAAUGAUAUUUUAGAUUUGAAUUAUCAGACUAUAUAUAUAUAAGUAUACACAUUUUUAUGAAAUAAAAGAUUUUGCUAAAAGAAAAAGCAUCCAAUUUUAAGAAUGAAAAAUAUAUGGUAAAAGCAUCCAUAACUUUUCAAUGUUAAAGACAAAAAAGACUGUAACACCAAUGUUGUGGUAUUAUUUGUUGCCUAUAAAUACCAUUCCUAUCCUUCUUCUUCCUCUACCAACAUAACAUGGCCUCCUAUCUCUUUCUCUCCCUAUUCCUCUUCUUUCUCCAUCUUUAUGCUUCUUUUUCUUCUUCAGGAUCUCACUCCUGCUCUUCACUAAUCCAGUUUAAGGACUCCUUUUCCAUAAGAGAGGAUGCUUCUUUUGAUCAUUGCGAUUAUUUUGCUGGCCUUAAAUCUUAUCCCAAGACAAAUUCAUGGAAGGAGGGUACAGAUUGCUGCUCAUGGGAUGGGGUCACUUGUGACCACCUAAAUGCUCAUGUUAUUGCCCUUGACUUGAGCUGCAGUUGGCUAUAUGGCACCUUCCCUUCCAAUACCACUCUCUUCCUUCUUCCUCACCUUCAAAAACUCAACCUUGCCUACAAUGAUUUUAAUUCUUCCAAAAUUCCAUCCGAGUUCGGUCGGUUUACAAGCCUAUUCUACCUCAACCUUUCCAAUACAUGGUUUUCAGAAGUCCCAUCCCAAGUCUCCCACCUGUCAAAAUUGGUUUCACUUGAUCUUUCUGGGUUUGAUGAACUAUUAACAAUUGACAAAUAUGCUCUGGAGGGUCUUGUUCACAACCUAACCGAGGUCAGACGUCUGUUUUUGGAUGAAAUGGACAUGUCUUCAGUUAAUGCUCAUGUCUUCAUGAAUCUAUCCUCUUCUCUAAGGUCUCUCAGUCUUGUUGGUUGUGAUUUGCAAGGAAAAUUCCCAAAAAACAUUUUUGAUUUGCCAAACCUCAAUCUCCUCAACUUGGGAGGCAACCAAAACCUCAAUCUUGAUCCUUUGAAGUUCAAUCGGAGCAGCAAUCUUGAACAAUUGAUAAUUUCAGACGCAAAUAUUUGUGGAGGAUUGCCUGACUCGAUGGGGAAUCUUGUGUCCUUGAAGUUUUUAGUUCUCUCCCAUUCCAACUUAUCAGGACUGGUUCCAAGAUCACUGGGGAAUCUCUUGAAACUCACUCAUUUAGACUUGUCGGAGAACCAAUUGAGUGGACAAAUUCCAAGAAAAUUGGGGAACCUCUUGCAACUCACUCAUUUAGACUUGUCGAAGAACCAAUUGAGUGGACAAAUUCCAAGAUCAUUAGGGAACCUCUUGCAACUCACUCAUUUAGACUUGUGGCUGAACCAAUUGAGUGGACAGAUUCCAAGAUCAUUGGGGAACCUCUUGCAACUCACUGUUUUAGACUUGGGAUGGAACAAAUUGAGUGGACAAAUUCCAUUGUCAAUUCUAAACCUAACGCAGCUGGAAUACUUGACAAUAUCUAACAAUUCUUUAGAAGGUUCCAUUCCAGAUGAGGUAACCGCUUUUCAUAAUCUAAUAUAUUUAGACUUAUCUGACAAUUUACUCAAUGGAACACUGCCGUCAUGGUUGUAUACUGCUCCCUCCUUAAAGACAAUAUAUCUCUCUCAAAAUCAAUUCAGUGGGCAUAUCAAAGAAUUCCAAUCCAAAUCACUAGAAUGGAUAUGGUUAGAGAAUAAUAAACUCCAAGGUCCUCUUCCAUCUUCAAUAUUCCAACUUCUCAAUCUUACCCAACUUAGCUUAUCCUCAAAUUAUCUUAGUGGUGUCAUAGAGUUUCGCAUGUUCUCAAACCUUCCAAAUCUCGAAUAUCUUGACCUUUCAUAUAACAGCCUAUCCUUAACAUCUAAUACAACUUCUACUGUUAAUCUUACAAGCUUAUUUUUGUCAUCUUGCAAUCUUAGUGAAUUCCCCCAAUUUUUAAAAGGGCUUAAAAGUUUGGAAAGCUUAGACCUCUCUUGCAACAAAAUUGAAGGCAAGAUUCCACAGUGGAUGCGAGAGGUGGGGAAUGGCUCUUUGACUCACUUAAAUGUAUCUCACAACACUUUGACAGAAGUUGAGCACUUUCCAUGGAAGAAUAUUGAUGUUCUUGACUUAAGCUCCAAUUUGAUCAGUGGAAAUCUUCCGAUUCCAGCUUCGACCAUAAGAGUCUUUUUGAUCUCAAAUAAUAGUUUCAAUGGAGAGGUCUCUUCUUUAAUAUGCAAUGCCGCUUUUCUUGAAAUUCUUGAUUUGUCCCACAAUAACUUGAGUGGAACAAUUCCACAAUGUUUUGGAAAUUUGAGCAACAGCCUUCUAUUCUUGAAUCUGAAGAAGAACAAGUUUUAUGGGACGAUUCCUCCAGCAUUUGCAAAGGGAUGCCGAUUGAGUAAUUUCAACUUAAAUGGAAAUCUGUUAGAAGGGCCUUUGACACCAUCCAUGAUCCAUCCUUAAUUGUAAUGGUCUGGAAGUGCUAGAUCUUGGUAACAACAAGAUCAAUGAUACAUUUCCUCAUUGGUUGGGAAGUCUUCCACAGCUACAAGUUCUUGUAUUGAAGUCAAAUCAACUGCAUGGUUCCUUAUGUGUCAAUAGCUCCAAGUCUAUCCCUUUUUUCUCUAAAAUCCAAAUUUUUGAUCUCUCAAGUAAUUAUUUUUCUGGACCCCUACCAGUGAGAUACAUCAACAGCUUCAAGGCUAUCAUAAAUCUAGAGAAGAUUGGGAGUACAAUGUCGUACAUGGGGGUGUAUGCUCAGAGAGGUAGUGCCUUCUAUACCCAUUCCAUUGGAAUUGUUAUGAAAGGACAAGAUAGGGAAUUGGUGAAAAUUUUCACCAUGUGGAUGAUCAUUGAUCUAUCAAACAAUCAGUUUCAAGGGGGUAUUCCAAAGGUUAUUGUGAAGCUUAACUUGCUGAAAGGGCUCAACCUUUCUCAUAAUAACCUUAAUGGUGGUAUCCCCACCUCAAUAGGGAAUUUGACAAGUCUUGAAUGGUUAGACCUAUCUUCAAACAGUUUGUCUGGGACGAUUCCAAAUAGAUUGGCAGAUCUGCCAUUUCUUUCGUCCUUCAAUGUUUCUGAAAAUCAACUCCAUUGUCAGAUUCCUCAAGGCAAACAGUUCAACACAUUUGGAAAUGAUUCAUAUGAAGGAAACAAGGGAUUAUGUGGAUUUCCGGUCUCAAAAGGUUGCAACAUCAUUGAGCCAGCACCUCUAAAUGUGCUUGAAAAAGAUGGCUCAAAAUCAAACAUUACUUUUGGUUGGAAAGUGGUGUUGAUAGGUUAUGGAUGCGGAGUGGUGUUCGGAAUGUCCGUGGGAUAUGUUGUUUUCCAAACUGGUAAGCCGAAAUGGUUGGUGAAUUUGGUUGAAAUCCAACAUGAGAAGAAGCGAAGAAGAAAGUCAAAGGAUGGCAGUCGCAGCAAUGGAUGAAGAAGGAUCUAGUUAGUGGAAAUGAUGUUCAAGUGUUGAUGUUGUAUCUUCAUAAUUUCUUGUUUUGAAGUCUUUCAAUUUUUUUCCUAUGGUGAAAGGUUGCAUUGCCAUGCAUCUGUCUUUACUUUUGUAACAAUUCAUCUGUCAUAAUAUUAUAGAUUUUAUUGAUUUUAAUUUUUUCUCUAAUUUUUAAUAAAAAUAGGGGCAUAAUUGCUUUUUUUUUUUAAGUUUGAGAGUAUUUUUUAUGCAUUUUGAAAGUUCAAGUACCAAAUUGAGUGCAAAAAAAAAAAGAGUAGGGGCUUAAUUACUUUUUUUGAAAAUGUUUGAGAGCUUUUUUGAUGUAUCAAAUGAAAUACAAAUUUUGAGUAAAUCAACUAUUCAUUUUUAUGAAUAAAAAUUAUAUGGUAAAAAGGAAGUAGUGUUAAUAAUAAUAAAAAAGAUCAACAAUAGAAAACUAAUAAAGCAAUUUAGCCUAUGAUCUGCGCAAUAUAUUACUACAAAUGUACUGUACAAAAUAUUGAAGAAAACUAAUAAAGAAAUCUGAAAUUUUAACAAGUUCCGCAAAUAAUGUUUAUGAUUUGCUGUAAAUUGAUAUGUCAAAUUAGGCUCUCCAUCACACUUAAAAGUUUAUUUUCGAGCAAUUUAGAUAUCUUUGUUGCGUUUUUAUUUUGUUUUAGUUGUUUAUAUUAAUAAAUGAUUAGUGUGCAUUUUGAUGCUAUUUUAAGACCUGAGAUGGCCAAAUGGCACCCGGGGAAUCUAAUGAGGUUGGUGAGUGAUGCAGAGAGCCCAUGGUGGCCCGGAAGGAACGAAAAUGUUACCUAGAAAGAGGGUAUCGCAUUUCAAAGCAUGAAAGUCGUAAUACCCAUAACAAUGUUAAAAACAAGGAAGAUUGAGCCAUCAACAAUGUUAUCGUGAUACCGGUCAUAAGAUAUCGCGAUACCCAAAACUUCCAAGGAUCCCCCAAGACUGUUGUGGAUAUCGCGAUACCAAACUUUGGGUAUCGCAAUAUCAUUGAUGAGAGGAGACAAAAUAUAACUGUAGGGGUAAUCCUUUUCCAACAUGUGGAAUGGCCAUGGGAUGUGUUGUUUUCCAAACCGGUAAGGCGAAAAGGUUCGUGAAUUUGGCUGAAGACCAACAUGAGAAGAGGCGAAGAAGAAAGCCAAAAUAUAGCAAUCGCAUCAAUGGAUGAAGAAGGAUCUAGUUGGUUCAAAUGAAGUUAAAGCAUUUGUGCUGUGUCUUCAUAAUUUCUUGUUUAGUAGUCUGUCAGAAAGUUUUUCCUAUGGUGAAAAGUUGCAUUGCUAUGUGUCUGUUUUUAUGAUUGUACCAAUUCCUCUGUAUUUCAUUGCAUUUCGUACUAUUUGUAAGGGUUUAGUUCAGUGUAACAUCUUGUAUGGUGCAACUAUGUAUGUCUUCUUUCUUGAAUUUCAACUUUUAGUAAACAUUAUACUGCUCACCAUAAAAAAAAUACAUGUAGAAUUACAAAAGAUUCAAUUAUUCAAGUUUGAGUUGCAUUUAUAAACAUGUGAUGAUGAGAAUUCAUGAACAAAAGGUAUGGUUUGAGCCCUUUUGCAAUAUGCGUUUAUGUUGCAUUUACCUAUAUAUCUAUCGACAAAUUUAAGAGUAAUAUUUACAAUAGCAUUGCAGAGUAACAUAUUUACGAUUGGAUUACACAGUCAAAAGAUUGCAGCAACGAUGAGAUUAAUCCAAUUACAGGAAUUGAUAUCCUAAAUGGCUUUUAGGUACGUAGCUUCAUUGACGGUACAAACUAGUUAAAAUUUCCAGAAUUCAUGUCUUUGUUUUCCCUCAAGUAAACGUAGUCAAUACUGCAAAUGGUGUGGAAGUAUUGUACAUUGUGGCCCAAAUGUCCAAAAUUUCCACAUUGCUUGUAAAUUAAGUGAUGAAAACCAAAACUGUUUGAGGCAUCCAAUUACCCACAGAGAUAGGAAGUAAGGACGCAUGUAUAAUUAUUAUCAUUAAUUAAAGCAUAUAUAAUUACAUUAAAUAUAGGAUAAACUAUAAAAAUAAUCACUUUUAUUUACCUCAUAUUACAUUUUAGUCACUUAUGUUUGAAAUGUUACAUUUUGGUCACUUACGUUAUCGUUUUGGUACGAAGUGGUCACUCUACCGUUAAGCUCCGUUACCUCCCUAACGGCGAUUCUACGUGAUAGUCCAAAUGAGUUUUAAAUGCCAACUUAAAUGUCUUGCGUGGCUGUCUAAAUUAAAUUUAUUUAAUUAAAAACUUAUUUUCAUCUCAACAACCGGACAUUCAAGUUCGCAUUUAAAACCCAUUUAGACUGCCACGUAGGACUGCCGAUAGGGAGGUAACAGAGUUUGAUAGUAGAGUAACCACUUCAUAACAAAACGAUAAUGUAAGUGGCUAAAACAUAACAUUUCAAACAUAAGUAAUUAAAAUAUAAUAUAAGGUAAACAAGCCUUAAAUAUAUAAAUUACUAUGAUUACUAUCAAGAUAGCAUUGACCUGUUCAACAGGCGGAACCAAUAGAUCUGACCAUUUGGUGACUCUAGCAGUCGAUAAGUGUGAGUGGCAGACUGUGCAACUUGUAACUAUGUUAAUUGAUGAAAAGCUUUUUGAUAGAAGAUAAUAAACUAGUGGCAAUGGCAAACGGUUCCAAGACGAGGUGGGACACCGAGGCUUUGUGUAACAGGGGAAUAGAUGCACUCAAUGCUGGCGGCUGUUGACUUGUAUUUCUCUCUAACAAUUUAAAUCACCAGCUUGCUUCAUCCAUCUAUAAAUAAGGGUCUUCUUCAGUUUCAUAAAUGCAUAGAAAAUUAACAAGCUCAAAUUCCUUCUUUUCAUAUUCAUCUCUUUUACUUUGAAUUGCAACUUUAUCCUGCCUAAAUUCCUCAACCAUGAACCACCCAUCAGGACAGCCUCAAAAUGAACUUCCUUGGUCCGCCGGAUUCUGCGAUUGUUGCUCUGACCUGAAAACUUGUAACCCUUUCUUCUUUCUUCAAUAUCAGUUCUGUC